UGAGGAAUAUUGGUCAAUGGGCGGGAGCCUGAACCAGCCAAGUCGCGUGAAGGAAGAAGGAUCUAUGGUUCGUAAACUUCGUUUGCAGGGGAAUAAAGUGCAGGACGUGUACUGUUUUGUAUGUACCCUGAGAAUAAGGAUCGGCUAACUCCGUGCCAGCAGCCGCGGUAAUACGGAGGAUCCGAGCGUUAUCCGGAUUUAUUGGGUUUAAAGGGUGCGUAGGUGGUUUGGUAAGUCAGCGGUGAAAGUUUGCAGCUUAACUGUAAAAAUGCCGGUGAAACUGUCGGACUUGAGUGUAAAUGAGGUAGGCAGAUUGCGUGGUGUAGCGGUGAAAUGCAGAGAUAUCACGCAGAAAUCCGAUUGCGAAAGCAGCUUACUAAGCUACAACUGACACUGAAGCACG
RNAcentral lists this ribosomal RNA (403 nucleotides) under uncultured bacterium. RNAcentral's name for it is "bacterial SSU rRNA". It matches the Rfam family "Bacterial small subunit ribosomal RNA", at positions 355 to 755 of the family's 1533-position model. The record is from RNAcentral.